Molecule: non-coding RNA, 92 nt
Filed under: Eubacterium ruminantium
Lineage: Bacteria; Bacillati; Bacillota; Clostridia; Eubacteriales; Eubacteriaceae
Description: GEMM cis-regulatory element
Rfam family: c-di-GMP-I riboswitch aptamer
About the family: GEMM was predicted in a large-scale screen for bacterial structured RNA regulatory elements. Genes associated with GEMM are involved in a diverse array of functions, including chemotaxis regulation, signal transduction, secretion and chitin.
Source: RNAcentral
UAUAGAUAAAGGCAAAAUGCAGGAAACUGCAUGACGCAAAGCUACAGGGUCUGGAUGAAUAUGAUUAUUUUGAAUGACAGCCAGUUGCAGUA